This 465-nucleotide ribosomal RNA is filed under the name uncultured bacterium. Its description in RNAcentral is "partial 16S ribosomal RNA". It matches the Rfam family "Bacterial small subunit ribosomal RNA", at positions 28 to 507 of the family's 1533-position model. The record is from RNAcentral.
GACGAACGCUGGCGGCGUGCUUAACACAUGCAAGUCGAACGGAAAGGCCCUGCUUGCCGGGUACUCGAGUGGCGAACGGGUGAGUAACACGUGGGUGAUCUGCCCUGCACUUCGGGAUAAGCCUGGGAAACUGGGUCUAAUACCGGAUAGGAGCCAUUUUUAGUGUGAUGGUUGGAAAGUUUUUUCGGUGUAGGAUGAGCUCGCGGCCUAUCAGCUUGUUGGUGGGGUAAUGGCCUACCAAGGCGGCGACGGGUAGCCGGCCUGAGAGGGUGGACGGCCACAUUGGGACUGAGAUACGGCCCAGACGCCUACGGGAGGCAGCAGGGGGGAAUAUUGCACAAUGGGCGCAAGCCUGAUGCAGCGACGCCGCGUGGGGGAUGACGGCCUUCGGGUUGUAAACGCCUUUCGCUAGGGACGAAGCUUUUUGUGACGGUACCUAGAUAAGAAGCACCGGCUAACUACGUG